CCUACGGGAGGCAGCAGUGGGGAAUAUUGCACAAUGGGGGAAACCCUGAUGCAGCGACGCCGCGUGAAGGAAGAAGUAUUUCGGUAUGUAAACUUCUAUCAGCAGGGAAGAAAAUGACGGUACCUGACUAAGAAGCCCCGGCUAACUACGUGCCAGCAGCCGCGGUAAUACGUAGGGGGCGAGCGUUAUCCGGAUUUACUGGGGGGAAAGGGAGCGUAGGCGGUUUAGCAAGUCAGAAGUGAAAGCCCGGGGCUCAACUCCGGGACUGCUUUUGAAACUGUUGAACUAGAGUGCAGGAGAGGUAAGUGGAAUUCCUAGUGUAGCGGUGAAAUGCGUAGAUAUUAGGAGGAACACCAGUGGCGAAGGCGGCUUACUGGACUGUAAAUGACGCUGAGGCUCGAAAGCGUGGGGAGCAAACAGGAUUAGAUACCCUUGUAGUC
This 440-nucleotide ribosomal RNA is filed under the name uncultured bacterium. RNAcentral's name for it is "partial 16S ribosomal RNA". It matches the Rfam family "Bacterial small subunit ribosomal RNA", at positions 338 to 795 of the family's 1533-position model. The record is from RNAcentral.